GCCAGGUGUGGUGGUGUGCACCUGUAGUUCCAUCAACUUGGGGGGCUGAGGCAGGAGGAUCACUAGAGCCCAGGAGGUUGAGGCUGCAGUGAGCCAAGAUCAUGCCACUGCACCCCAGCCUGGGCAACAGAGUGAGACCUUGUCUUAA
Molecule: unclassified non-coding RNA, 148 nt
Organism: Papio anubis (olive baboon)
Lineage: Eukaryota; Metazoa; Chordata; Mammalia; Primates; Cercopithecidae
Rfam family: Metazoan signal recognition particle RNA
About the family: The signal recognition particle (SRP) is a universally conserved ribonucleoprotein. It is involved in the co-translational targeting of proteins to membranes.
Source: Ensembl